This 492-nucleotide ribosomal RNA is filed under the name uncultured bacterium. RNAcentral describes it as "bacterial SSU rRNA". It matches the Rfam family "Bacterial small subunit ribosomal RNA", at positions 8 to 507 of the family's 1533-position model. The record is from RNAcentral.
AGAGUUUGACUCCGUGGCUCGAGGAUGAACGCUGGCGGCGUGACCUAAUACAUGCAAGUCGAGCCGAACCACUUCGGUGGUGAGCGGCGAACGGGUGAGUAACACGUAGGUGAUCUGCCCAUCAGACGGGGACAACGAUUGGAAACGAUCGCUAAUACCGGAUAGGGCGAAAGUUUAAAGGUGCUUCUGGCACCGCUGAUGGAUGAGCCUGCGGCGCAUUAGCUAGUUGGUAGGGUAAAGGCCUACCAAGGCGACGAUGCGCAGCCGACCUGAGAGGGUGAACGGCCACACUGGGACUGAGACACGGCCCAGACUCCUACGGGAGGCAGCAGUAGGGAAUCUUCGGCAAUGGGCGAAAGCCUGACCGAGCAACGCCGCGUGAAUGAUGAAGGCCUUCGGGUUGUAAAAUUCUGUUAUAAGGGAAGAACGACUUUAGUAGGAAAUGGCUAGAGUGUGACGGUACCUUAUGAGAAAGCCACGGCUAACUACGUG